Molecule: ribosomal RNA, 492 nt
Filed under: uncultured bacterium
Lineage: Bacteria
Description: partial 16S ribosomal RNA
Rfam family: Bacterial small subunit ribosomal RNA
Source: RNAcentral
AGUGGACGCUGGCGGUAGGCCUAACACAUGCAAGUCGAACGGCAGCACAGUAAGAGCUUGCUCUUACGGGUGGCGAGUGACGGACGGGUGAGGAAUACAUCGGAAUCUACUUUUUCGUGGGGGAUAACGUAGGGAAACUUACGCUAAUACCGCAUACGACCUACGGGUGAAAGCAGGGGAUCUUCGGACCUUGCGCGAUUGAAUGAGCCGAUGUCGGAUUAGCUAGUUGGCGGGGUAAAGGCCCACCAAGGCGACGAUCCGUAGCUGGUCUGAGAGGAUGAUCAGCCACACUGGAACUGUGACACGGUCCAGACUCCUACGGGAGGCAGCAGUGGGGAAUAUUGGACAAUGGGCGCAAGCCUGAUCCAGCCAUACCGCGUGGGUGAAGAAGGCCUUCGGAUUGUAAAGCCCUUUUGUUGGGAAAGAAAAGCAGCAGGUUAAUACCCCGCUGUUCUGACGGUACCCAAAGAAUAAGCACCGGCUAACUUCGUG